Mizuhopecten yessoensis (Yesso scallop) is the source of this 131-nucleotide long non-coding RNA. RefSeq lists it as uncharacterized. Lineage: Eukaryota; Metazoa; Mollusca; Bivalvia; Pectinida; Pectinidae. The record is from RefSeq and is a predicted model, not a curated record. The transcript is spliced from 2 exons.
AAAUUGGCGAUUUUCAGAAGAUUGUUGGGACCUUUAUCGAGGUUGUAGAUAAUGUUUCAAAGGAGGUGGAAAAAGAAAAAAUGAAGGCCAUUGGUUCCAGGAAUUUAUUAAAAUCAAUAGCGAAACAAAGA